This 497-nucleotide ribosomal RNA is filed under the name uncultured bacterium. RNAcentral's name for it is "partial 16S ribosomal RNA". It matches the Rfam family "Bacterial small subunit ribosomal RNA", at positions 28 to 507 of the family's 1533-position model. The record is from RNAcentral.
GACGAACGCUGGCGGCGUGCCUAAUACAUGCAAGUUGAGCGAUGAAGCUUGGUGCUUGCACCAAUUUGAAGAGCAGCGAACGGGUGAGUAACGCGUGGGGAAUCUGCCUUUGAGCGGGGGACAACAUUUGGAAACGAAUGCUAAUACCGCAUAACAACUUUAAACAUAAGUUUUAAGUUUGAAAGAUGCAAUUGCAUCACUCAAAGAUGAUCCCGCGUUGUAUUAGCUAGUUGGUGAGGUAAGGGCUCACCAAGGCGAUGAUACAUAGCCGACCUGAGAGGGUGAUCGGCCACAUUGGGACUGAGACACGGCCCAAACUCCUACGGGAGGCAGCAGUAGGGAAUCUUCGGCAAUGGACGAAAGUCUGGCCGAGCAACGCCGCGUGAGUGAAGAAGGUUUUCGGAUCGUAAAACUCUGUUGGUAGAGAAGAACGUUGGUGAGAGUGGAAAGCUCAUCAAGUGACGGUAACUACCCAGAAAGGGACGGCUAACUACGUG